UACGUAGGUGGCAAGCGUUAUCCGGAAUUAUUGGGCGUAAAGCGCGCGUAGGCGGUUUUGUAAGUCUGAUGUGAAAGCCCACGGCUCAACCGCGGAAGGGCAUUGGAAACUGGAAAACUAGAGUGCAGAAGAGGAAAGUGGAAUUCCAUGUGUAGCGGUGAAAUGCGUAGAGAUAUGGAGGAACACCAGUGGCGAAGGCGACUUUCUGGUCAGAAACUGACGCUGAUGUGCGAAAGCGUGGGGAUCAAACAGG
RNAcentral lists this ribosomal RNA (253 nucleotides) under uncultured bacterium. Its description in RNAcentral is "partial 16S ribosomal RNA". It matches the Rfam family "Bacterial small subunit ribosomal RNA", at positions 524 to 776 of the family's 1533-position model. The record is from RNAcentral.